CAAUAAAGGCGCCCUCGGGCGCCGCCUGUCUAACAGGAAUUCUUGUGUUUUGUACCAUUGUUGCCUCGGUGGGCUUGCCCGCCGGUAGAGGCCCCAUUCAAACUCUUUGCAAUUGCAGUAUCAGUCUGAAAACAAAAACAAAUAAUCA
RNAcentral lists this unclassified non-coding RNA (148 nucleotides) under uncultured fungus. Its description in RNAcentral is "sequence contains ITS1". The record is from RNAcentral. Lineage: Eukaryota; Fungi.